Long non-coding RNA from Larimichthys crocea (large yellow croaker), 604 nucleotides. RefSeq lists it as uncharacterized. The record is from RefSeq and is a predicted model, not a curated record. Lineage: Eukaryota; Metazoa; Chordata; Actinopteri; Sciaenidae. The transcript is spliced from 2 exons.
AGCCACUCCAGAAACUACCAAACAACUCUAACAUCUACUUCAGCUGAGAUAAAGAAUGGAAGGAGGACAGAGCCGAGCUGUGUCUCCAUCCUACCUAGGAUGGUCCAUUUUUAACACUCUGUGCUGUUGCCUGCCUCUGGGGAUUGCUGCUAUUGUCUGCUCCUGCAAGGCACAAAAUGCUAAUGCUGUUGGAGAUUCAGCAGCAGCUGGGGAUGCAUCAAGAACAGCCAAGAUCCUCAAUAUCAUUGGACUUGUCUGUGGAAUCAUUUUGAUCAUCAUUUUUGUCGCUCUCAAAGCCGUGCAAUGAAGGUGCCACUUUGCCCACAGAUGCUUUGGAUUUGGAUCAGCAUUGCUUUUACUACAAUGAAUUCCCCCUCCCCCACAAACAGGACCACUAAAAGGAAACAGAUGUCUGCAUAUGUGCACGCACGAAGGCUGUACAGAGUUGUUUGCCUUUGUACCUUUUUCCAGUGCCCAUGAACAUAUCCCAGGAAUGGCUUUAUAAUUACUUGUUUUGUUUUAGUUUUUUGUUUUUUGUUUUUGUCAUGAAAGCCAAUAAAUACUUGUAUACUUUGUUUUAAAAAAAUAAACACUCCAAAAUAAA